Long non-coding RNA from Drosophila willistoni, 618 nucleotides. RefSeq lists it as uncharacterized. Lineage: Eukaryota; Metazoa; Arthropoda; Insecta; Diptera; Drosophilidae. The transcript is spliced from 3 exons. The record is from RefSeq and is a predicted model, not a curated record.
AAAUGAAAACAAUUAAAAUUUGUUUACUGGGCUUUUCUUGGCGCGCCCGCCACAUCAAAAUUGUUUCUGUGACCGUGUUAAACACACCGUAGAUAUAUGUAUAUAUAUAGUGAAAUGGCAGAAAACACUUAAAUACACAUAUCAAAAUAAACAUCCACCCACAGUAAAUGAACAAUAGCCAAACAACCAGCAACAGCUGACGCAAUCUGAUGCAACAUUACACAAUUGCAAUUUCAUCAAACAUUGCAAACAACAAAACAAAAAACGCACAGUUUAAAAAUUAUAGCGAAACUGGUUUGUUCGCUUCAGCGGAUAUUACAAAAAUUGCGAAAUAUUCUAUAUAUGUCAUGUGUUUGGAUUCCCAUCGAGAACAACGCGUACAAGGGACAUCCGGAUGUAGUCGUUUGUGAAGUUUCCAGCAACUUUGAUGCCAAUAAAUUCCACAUUCACCGCAUCGACGAAUUUUACGAUGCCAAGGAUAAAUGAGAUUGUUGCUUCUACAAUGCUCGCAGACAAAAGCACGACCAGUGCAGAGCUGAAAGUAGGAAUAAGGAUUGAAUUCAGACAUGCUUUUCGCUUAGUUCGAUCAGUUCUUCAAUAGAUCUUGCCAUACUGCCA